RNAcentral lists this ribosomal RNA (503 nucleotides) under uncultured bacterium. Its description in RNAcentral is "partial 16S ribosomal RNA". It matches the Rfam family "Bacterial small subunit ribosomal RNA", at positions 30 to 523 of the family's 1533-position model. The record is from RNAcentral.
AUUGAACGCUGGCGGCAGGCUUAACACAUGCAAGUCGAGCGGGGUGAUGGUGCUUGCACUAUCACUUAGCGGCGGACGGGUGAGUAAUGCUUAGGAAUCUGCCUAUUAGUGGGGGACGACAUCGCGAAAGGGAUGCUAAUACCGCAUACGGUCUACGGGAGAAAGCAGGGGAUCACUGGUGACCUUGCGCUAAUAGAUGAGGCUAAGUCGGAGUAGCUAGUUGGUGGGGUAAAGGCCUACCAAGGCGACGAUCUGUAGCGGGUCUGAGAGGAUGAUCCGCCACACUGGGACUGAGACACGGCCCAGACUCCUACGGGAGGCAGCAGUGGGGAAUAUUGGACAAUGGGGGGAACCCUGAUCCAGCCAUGCCGCGUGUGUGAAGAAGGCCUUAUGGUUGUAAAGCACUUUAAGCGAGGAGGAGGCUCUUUUGGUUAAUACCCAAGAUGAGUGGACGUUACUCGCAGAAUAAGCACCGGCUAACUCUGUGCCAGCCGCCGCCGUAA